RNAcentral lists this non-coding RNA (503 nucleotides) under uncultured Glomeromycotina. Its description in RNAcentral is "SSU rRNA". It matches the Rfam family "Eukaryotic small subunit ribosomal RNA", at positions 591 to 1092 of the family's 1831-position model. Lineage: Eukaryota; Fungi; Glomeromycota. RNAcentral also lists the same sequence under 1 other name. The record is from RNAcentral.
CCAAUAGCGUAUAUUAGUGUUGUUGCGGUUAAAAAGCUCGUAGUUGAAUUUCGGGAUUGGGAUAUAUCGGUCGUGCCUUUAGGGGCAUGAAACGGUGUGUAGCCAAUUUCUCACCUUCUGGUGAGUCGGGAUGCUCUUGGGUGUUUCGAUGAAUCAGGACCUUUACUUUGAAAAAAUUAGAGUGUUUAAAGCGGGCAUUUUUGCUUGAAUACAUUAGCAUGGAAUAAUAAAAUAGGACGAUGGUUCUAUUUUGUUGGUUUUAGGACCACGUAAUGAUUAAUAGGGAUAGUUGGGGGCAUUAGUAUUCAAUUGUCAGAGGUGAAAUUCUUGGAUUUAUUGAGGACUAACUACUGCGAAAGCAUUUGCCAAGGAUGUUUUCAUUAAUCAAGAACGAAAGUUAGGGGAUCAAAGACGAUUUAUGUACGUCGUAGUCUUAACCAUAAACUAUGCCGACUAGGAAUCAGACAAAGUUCAUUUUUUAACGACUUGUUUGGUACCUUACG